UAGGAUUAUGGUUCGUGGGUUCACUGGGGGUGGGAAAGUGAUCGGGCGCGGCGCGGCGCAGGCGGCAGUCGAGCCGAUACUCCGGGGACUGGCGGCGGCGCGGGCACCUUGCCAGCGUUCGCGCGCCGCGCCACUUGUGCUCUAUUACACCACACGACACGCGCUCCCGAUUACACUUUCAAUAUGAAUAAUUCAGACACGAUUGUUUCAAAGUAUAUCGAUUAAGGACUUCGCUAGGAAUUCACAGAUGGGCAAAUGACGCCACUCCAGUGUAUAAUUUUAAUGCUGGUGAAAACACUUUUAAACACUGAAAGAAAACCAUAGAACUUCCAAAAAUACUCAAAGAAUACAAAAAUAUUCAACAGUGCUGCAUUGACGUCAGCCACUCAUGAAUGGCCACUCGACGUAAAAAAAUGGAAACAUGGAAAUUUUCUUUAUCUCAUAGUUACUCGUACUAACUACAAACAUCUACUGAGAAUUCUUGUAAUAAUAUUUACGUUUGUUCGUUGCCAAGAAAACAUCUACAUUGCUUUUAAUUCAUUUGUUUUAUUUACGAAUACAUUCGUGUAUAUUUGAUUCAAGUAGGUAGGUGAAUUUGACGAGGAAAUUAAAAAACUGUAACAAUUAAUACAAAAGAAGACGUCAAAUUAAACGCAUUUUAAAAUAGAAGCUUGUAUAUUAUUAGUAACAUUAAACAUUUUUUAUUCCUUU
Melitaea cinxia (Glanville fritillary) is the source of this 711-nucleotide long non-coding RNA. RefSeq lists it as uncharacterized. Lineage: Eukaryota; Metazoa; Arthropoda; Insecta; Lepidoptera; Nymphalidae. The transcript has 2 exons. The record is from RefSeq and is a predicted model, not a curated record.